Molecule: small RNA, 82 nt
Filed under: Kribbella shirazensis
Lineage: Bacteria; Bacillati; Actinomycetota; Actinomycetes; Propionibacteriales; Kribbellaceae
Description: sRNA Ms_AS-4
Rfam family: Actinobacteria sRNA Ms_AS-4
Source: RNAcentral
UUUGGCGUCGGCGUAGCGGCCGGGGGCGUCGCCGAACUCUGCGAGCACCCGGGCGCCGAGGAUCGGUCCGAGGCCGGGCUGG